RNAcentral lists this ribosomal RNA (508 nucleotides) under uncultured bacterium. RNAcentral describes it as "partial 16S ribosomal RNA". It matches the Rfam family "Bacterial small subunit ribosomal RNA", at positions 28 to 507 of the family's 1533-position model. The record is from RNAcentral.
GACGAACGCUGGCGGCGUGCCUAAUACAUGCAAGUCGAGCGCAGGAAGUCAUCCGAACCCUUCGGGGGGACGUUGACGGAAUGAGCGGCGGACGGGUGAGUAACACGUAAAGAACCUGCCCUCAGGUCUGGGAUAACCACGAGAAAUCGGGGCUAAUACCGGAUGGGUCAUCGGACCGCAUGGUCCGAGGAUGAAAGGCGCUCCGGCGUCGCCUGGGGAUGGCUUUGCGGUGCAUUAGCUAGUUGGUGGGGUAAUGGCCCACCAAGGCGACGAUGCAUAGCCGACCUGAGAGGGUGAUCGGCCACACUGGAACUGAGACACGGCCCAGACUCCUACGGGAGGCAGCAGUAGGGAAUCUUCCACAAUGGACGAAAGUCUGAUGGAGCAACGCCGCGUGAACGAUGAAGGCCCUCGGGUCGUAAAGUUCUGUUGUAAGGGAAGAACAAGUGCCGCAGGCAAUGGCGGCACCUUGACGGUACCUUGCGAGAAAGCCACGGCUAACUACGUG